This 468-nucleotide ribosomal RNA is filed under the name uncultured bacterium. RNAcentral's name for it is "partial 16S ribosomal RNA". It matches the Rfam family "Bacterial small subunit ribosomal RNA", at positions 28 to 507 of the family's 1533-position model. The record is from RNAcentral.
GACGAACGCUGGCGGCGUGCUUAACACAUGCAAGUCGAACGGAAAGGCCCUGCUUUUUUGGGGUGCCCGAGUGGCGAACGGGUGAGUAACACGUGAGUAACCUGCCCUUGACUUUGGUAUAACUUCAGGAAACUGGUGCUAAUACCGGAUAGGAGCUCCUGCUGCAUGGUGGGGGUUGGAUCGUUUCGGCGGUUGGGGAUGGACUCGCGGCUUAUCGGCUUGUUGGUGGGGUAGUGGCUUACCAAGGCUUUGACGGGUAGCCGGCCUGAGAGGGUGACCGGCCACAUUGGGACUGAGAUACGGCCCAGACUCCUACGGGAGGCAGCAGUGGGGAAUAUUGCACAAUGGGCGGAAGCCUGAUGCAGCAACGCCGCGUGCGGGAUGACGGCCUUCGGGUUGUAAACCGCUUUCGCCUGUGACGAAGCGUGAGUGACGGUAAUGGGUAAAGAAGCACCGGCUAACUACGUG